GUUUUAGGCAGGUGUCAGGAAGGAGAGAGAAUUGGAGUUUGGUGGUGUGUUGCUGAGAGCUGAAAGACCAGAAAACCAGAGGAAGGGAGACUCCUUCUCCAGCGUCAAGGACUGAGGGUAACCCUACCCAGAGGGCUGAUCAUUGGCAAUGCUCAAAGUUGCUCAAGCAAUCAAAAUGCAACAUGGAAAUCUCGGCCUUCCAGACUAAAUUCAACCCAUGCUGAGGUUCCCAGGGUGGAUUUCUUCAAGUUGUCUGGUUCAUGAGGAUCCAGGUGGGGGAUGGCCCAUUAAGAGCUGGGGCCAGAUCCCAAGCUGGUGUGAAGAAGAAAUUCUGCUGUGAUAGUGCGGUGUGGUGAUAGGCCAGAGGCCACAGACAGAUGUGGGUAGAACCAGUUGAAGUAAUGGGAGGAUGCACAUGUCUCUGGAUUGGGCUAGCGUGCUCAGGAUCAAGACCUGACUGAGUACAUGGGAUUUAUUGUAACUGCCUCUGACCACCUUUGUGAAACUUACUUUCAUUCUCUUUGCUCUGAGAGCCUGGCAUCUCAUCUGCAUAGCACCAGCGUCAGUGUCCACUGUUCCUCCUUAUAUAUCAAAUAUUGCAAGUGUCCAGCUAAACUGCAACAGCUAUGUUGCCAUCCCCUCUCAGGUUUGCUUUAUCCACCCAUUGUGUCCUGCCAUUCACCAAGUAAGCGCUAUGGGACAAGGUCUGUAUAUACAGUAGUUAGCACUCUGGAGCCUUGACCAGAGAUUCUCAGUGCCACUGCUAUGAUCAAGAAUCAUAUAUGGAAGGCCCAGAGCUAGCAGGUUUAAAGGGAACAAGAAUGUGUCUGCUCCCCCACAGGAGAAAGGGGGAAAGCUAGCUUGAGUAAGCUUUACAUAAAUUAUCAGAUUGCACCAAGCAGCAUCAUAGAAAUGUCAGGCUGGAAUGGACCUCAAGAGGUCUUCUAGCCCACCCCCCUGCACUGAAGGAGGGUUAAGUACACCUAAUCCACCCCUAUGUCUUUGGGGUUGGGAGGAGGAUGGGCCUUCUCCCCCGCCUCCCCCCCAGCUAUUGUGCCACUUCCUGCAGUCACCCCUUCUCUCGGAGCAUCUUGCACUCUGCUCACAUACAUUCCUGGUAUAAAGGUCAACAUGCCUCAGUGACCCAGGUUAAAAGUGAGCUUUGUUUUCAUUGUGCCUUGAAGACUAAUGCUGUGGCCAUUCUGCAGAGGAACAGGGAGGAGGAAAUCCAAAGGAGGGUCAGAAACAGUGAGGAUGGCUUAGACCUGUUGAUUACAGACCAUAGAGCUGGACAGAAAGCCUGGGGAACUGACUGCAUUCCUCCUGCAUAGCUCUGCACCAUGGAUUCCCAAUCAGCAGCAGAUAGGCCUGUGCUGUUUCCUUGGCUGAUAAGCACCAUGUGUAUCCUUGUUUCCACUUUGUUGCACAAAGCCAGUGUGAUCUAAGGAUGCAUUUGGCUGCGGGCACAGCAAAAGACAGAGGGUGUAUGGAAAAGCAGCUAAGUAAUGCAUGCAGCACUAGGCGCAACUGUUAAAGGGGGACAUAUCCCAUCUCAGUUUCUUACCAUCUUGCUUAGGGGGCUGGAGGACUAUUGGAUUGUCACUCCUAGUCCUCUACCGUUUCUUUAACUUGGUUACA
Chelonia mydas (Green sea turtle) is the source of this 1638-nucleotide long non-coding RNA. RefSeq lists it as uncharacterized. Lineage: Eukaryota; Metazoa; Chordata; Testudines; Cheloniidae. The record is from RefSeq and is a predicted model, not a curated record. The transcript is spliced from 3 exons.